AUGGUAUGUGGAGACAGUGUGACUCCUGACAAGGAGGAGUACACCCCCACUGAGGGAUCAUCAGUGUCUCUGAGAUGUACAUAUGAAACAAGCAGCAGUAACAUCUACCUUUACUGGUACCAACAAUACCCUAACCAGAAAACUAUCCGCAUCAAGCAAUGCAGCAACAGAAUCCAGAAACCAAGGCUGAGAUCUGAUCUGGUUUUUAUGUUCCACAUGGAGAACUCUCUGAUACUGGUUCUCAUUCUAGCCUCAGGACAUAUUGCUGGGGAUCACAUUACUCCUGUAAAUAAUGAAGUGAUCAGAACAGAAGGAGAACUUGUGACUCUAAGAUGCUCAUAUGACACAAGCAGUGAAUAUCCUUGGCUUUACUGGUACCGGCAUUAUUCUAACCAGGCUCCUCAGUUUCUACUGUAUAAAGGUGCCAGAUCAUUGAGCGAUGAAGAACAUAUCCCUGAUAAGAGAUAUAACUCCACAACAUCCCAGACAUCAACUGAACUGGUGAUAACAAGCGUAACCCUGGCAGACACAGCUCUCUACUACUGUGCUCUUGGCACAGUGAUAAAAAGUGUAUAAUACACUGUACAAAAACCUGCAGACCAAAAAGCUUUGAUGAAGUGGAAUUCAUAAUUAACCAUCAACCACAUUUGAUGUCAUAAUGGCAGAAGUUGAGAUCAGAGAAAUGUGGUCACACCUGUGCUGUGUUCAAUCACCAGGUGGUCUGGUGUUUCUCUGUCGUCAUAUUCAAUGCACUGUGAGAAAUAUCUAUUCUUCACUCUUCAAUCAGUAGUCUUCAAUUUCACUUACCGUAGGCAGUUUUUUUAUAUAUUGGUUGGAUAAUCACUUUGGAAUAUGACCAUGUGCAUCAGAGGAUGCCAUACAGACAAACACCUCCCCAUGGUCUACUACUGCAUGUAAUCUGUCUCUUUCUGCAUAUUUGUUAAUUUAAUUUGUAGUGAUGUAAUUUGUAAUGAUGUAAUGGUCGUAGAAGGACAACCAACAACACUCACUUUUCUGUUUGAUACAAUGUCUCAAUCACCAUAUCUCUUCUGGUACAAACAACUAGCAAAUAUCAACUCCAUGUUUAUGCUGAGAAGAAAUGU
Non-coding RNA from Oncorhynchus masou masou (cherry salmon), 1103 nucleotides. The record is from the annotation of a RefSeq genome assembly. Lineage: Eukaryota; Metazoa; Chordata; Actinopteri; Salmoniformes; Salmonidae.